UCCAUGAUAUAUACAUUGGCAAAUUGCAGAAUCUCAUUUCUACCUUUAUGUUUUUACAGUUUGUCCUCAUCAUUCUUCCUAUGCUUCUGCUCUAUCUUAUCGAAUAAACAUAGAGAUAUCUAGUGGGACGCCCAACAAGACGAGAGAUAUGGGGUCGUGCCUUUUUGUUUUGAUCACAUUCUGUUCCUUUUGUUUCAGCUUAUCAAAACUAUCUGUGUUUUCCUCGUAAACACAAAUACUAGAAUACAGCUGAAACUGCAUCAUCAAUACAUGGAGGGCUGAGGUGGGAUAAGAUUAAACGGUCGGGAGAAGGACACAUGCCCUAGUUUUAUGAGUUUAUGACCAAAAAGGCUAAUGGAGCUUUAAAAGAUGCAUAUGGUUACAUAACGACACAUGUCAAGUUGAAUCAAGGAAGAUUGAAGUUUUAACACAAAGACACGUAUCGAAUGUCAAAAAUGAUUAAGAAAAAAGCAGACUUUUGCCUUAAUUUAUGCUGAUUGCUGAGAUGAGUGACGGACUUGAAGUAGAAAGGCCGGUCAAGGAACAUUGAAAUGUGAAAUUAGCUUUUUCCUGUUACAACAAAGUAACAAAUAAAUAAUAUAUUCUCAGAGAAAUUUGUAUUCUCUGAUCUCCAA
This is a non-coding RNA of Jatropha curcas, 635 nucleotides long. Lineage: Eukaryota; Viridiplantae; Streptophyta; Magnoliopsida; Malpighiales; Euphorbiaceae. The record is from RefSeq and is a predicted model, not a curated record.